RNAcentral lists this ribosomal RNA (460 nucleotides) under uncultured bacterium. RNAcentral describes it as "partial 16S ribosomal RNA". It matches the Rfam family "Bacterial small subunit ribosomal RNA", at positions 338 to 795 of the family's 1533-position model. The record is from RNAcentral.
CCUACGGGAGGCAGCAGUGAGGAAUAUUGGUCAAUGGACGAGAGUCUGAACCAGCCAAGUAGCGUGAAGGAUGACUGCCCUAUGGGUUGUAAACUUCUUUUAUAUGGGAAUAAAAUGUUCCACGUGUGGGAUUUUGUAUGUACCAUAUGAAUAAGGCUCGGCUAACUCCGUGCCAGCAGCCGCGGUAAUACGGAGGAUCCGAGCGUUAUCCGGAUUUAUUGGGUUUAAAGGGAGCGUAGGUGGAUUGUUAAGUCAGGUGUGAAAGUUUGCGGCUCAACCGUAAAAUUGCCGUUGAAACUGGCAGUCUUGAGUACAGUAGAGGUAGGCGGAAUUCGUGGUGUAGCGGUGAAAUGCUUAGAUAUCACGAAGAACUCCGAUUGCGAAGGCAGUUCACUGGACUGCAACUGACGCUGAGGCUCGAAAGUGUGGGUAUCAAACAGGAUUAGAUACCCCAGUAGUC